AGUGAACGCUGGCGGUAGGCCUAACACAUGCAAGUCGAACGGCAGCACAGUAAGAGCUUGCUCUUACGGGUGGCGGGUGGCGGACGGGUGAGGAAUACAUCGGAAUCUACUUUUUCGUGGGGGAUAACGUAGGGAAACUUACGCUAAUACCGCAUACGACCUCCGGGUGAAAGCAGGGGAUCUUCGGACCUUGCGCGAUUGAAUGAGCCGAUGUCGGAUUAGCUAGUUGGCGGGGUAAAGGCCCACCAAGGCGACGAUCCGUAGCUGGUCUGAGAGGAUGAUCAGCCACACUGGAACUGAGACACGGUCCAGACUCCUACGGGAGGCAGCAGUGGGGAAUAUUGGCCAAUGGGCGCAAGCCUGAUCCAGCCAUACCGCGUGGGUGAAGAAGGCCUUCGGGUUGUAAAGCCCUUUUGUUGGGAAAGAAAAGCAGCAGGUUAAUACCCCGCUGUUCUGACGGUACCCAAAGAAUAAGCACCGGCUAACUUCGUG
RNAcentral lists this ribosomal RNA (492 nucleotides) under uncultured bacterium. Its description in RNAcentral is "partial 16S ribosomal RNA". It matches the Rfam family "Bacterial small subunit ribosomal RNA", at positions 29 to 507 of the family's 1533-position model. The record is from RNAcentral.